This 3257-nucleotide long non-coding RNA is filed under the name Nicotiana benthamiana. RNAcentral describes it as "long non-coding RNA (NBEN_LNC038916)". The record is from RNAcentral. Lineage: Eukaryota; Viridiplantae; Streptophyta; Magnoliopsida; Solanales; Solanaceae.
UAGAAUCUUGUUGAACCCUCUAACCCCGAGUCUCUUGAGCACUUGUAACAUCUUCGACGUCAGUCAUCAUUUUUCCCUGGAUCUUGUGUUGUCCGCUUACCACAAACCAACCACCUCAACUUUCUUCACAAUUAAAAACAAAACAUGUUAGAAUGGACUCAGUCAGCCUUUAUUACUAUCAACAGCAUGUCCAUCAUACUUUUUCACUUUUCUUUUUGGUUGAUCGAACCUGAUGUGGGUUGCCUACGUAUCAUGACGAUGCAUGAAUCAGAUCUUGCCUAGUUCGGGAAGAUUAUGAAUAAAGGAAAUAAAAUAAAUUUAUUGAUUUCCAAUUUUCUUUUUCUUUUUAUUUCACUUUUUUCAAAAGGAAGACUUAUGAAGAAGAAAGAAAAUAUUUUUUAUUUUGUUUUUUCUUCAACAUUUUUGCGAAAAAGACUUCUAAAGAAGAAAGAAUUUUUUUUCUUUCUUUUGGAGUUUUUAUUGUUUUUUUUUUUAAUUUCGAAAGAAAAACUUCUAAAGAAGAAAGCAAAAAUAUUUUUGCAUUUAUGGAUUUUAUUCUGAAGUUAGAAAAAAAAUACUUCUAUUUUCUUGUUAAUUGUCGGAAGAAGAAUGAAAAUAUUUUUGAAUUUUUUAUUUUAUUUUGAGAAGCAACUAAAAGAAAAUAUUUUUUGUAUUUUUUUUUUUAAAUUUGGAUGUCAAAGAAAAACUUUUCUAAACGAGGAAGUAAAAUUUUUUUUGGAUUUAUUUUUUAAAAUUGGGGGUCGGAACCGAUGAGGUUUGCCUACGUAUUUCACAUUUGGUGAGAACAGACCCCCGUAGUUCUGCCAGUUUUGAAAUAACAGGAAAAAUAUGACUUUUUUUUCUAUUUUUUAAAAUUUCGGCAGAGUUUCAGGAUAUUUUAAAUACCUACAUCUCACUUGUUUCUUUUCUUCUUUUUCUCUUUUUCUUUUUAUUUUUUUUCUUUUUCUUUCCCUAUCCUAUAAGCCAGACAGCAUGAAAGCCUGAACAGAUAGAUACGCAGAUAGUAAGAUUCAUCAGGAAAGUCUUUUAAUUUGGGUACAUCUGUCCUAUACGGACUCAACCCCUAUGUUGAGUUUCCAAAGUCAAAUGCACAUGUUGCAAACAAAUAUUCCUACUAGGGAUCCGGCAUGAGGCUGAGUUGUUCUAAGUAUAAAACUGGGUAUACCGUUCUAGACUUGUGCACCCGAGCGGACAGCUCGAGCCGAGGAGAGGGCUAUGUACUGGGAACCAAAAUAUCAUCCGACUAUGUAACUUGUUCAAGCAUCUCUCUUAUUCCAAGGUAUGACACUAAUAGAAUAGGGAGUCAGGCCAGCGUGCACAUCCUCAAAGAUGAGAAGAGAUGGGUUUCGUAGCAGUUUAUAUACAAUUCAUAGAAUAUUAAAGCGGUAAAAACAUUUAGCACAUUAGGCUCAAACAUGUAGGAAAAUCAGAUAAUAGAUAAAGUUAUUCAUAACAGCUAUUCUAAGCUCGAAUUUUUGAACCCCGAACCACAAAUUAUGGGUUCGAUCCCCAGCAGAGUCUCCAUAGCUGUCACGGCUCCUUUUUUACACUACAUCCCGCGAAUGGCAUAGAUAAGGGAGUUUUUACUAUUAAAGGACAAUCGAAACGGGAUAUCUAUUUAAGAUUUCAGAGUUGCCACUUGGGAUAGUUAAUGGUGUCCCAAGUCACCGAUUUAAAAUCCCGAAUCGAGGAAGGAUUGACUCUGUAAUACAGUUUGCGAGCAAGAAAUCCGGGUAAGGAAUUUUGUUAACCCAGGAGAAGGUGUUAGGUAUUUUUUGAGUUCUGUGGUUCUAGCACGGUCUCUCAACUGUUAUAUUUGGCUUAAUUAUCUGAUUUUAAAUCAUUUUGAACCUAUAUGGAACUUUAAAUUUAACCAUUUUUAUUCAUUUUAAAAGGAAGAUUGUGACGUUAUUUAAAAUAUAUUUUUGAACUACGUCACAUAAAUGCACCCACAGCCCGCAACACAUUUAUCUAACGUUUGGAUUUGGAUUUGGGUCAUAUAAAUGUGCACCCGAGUUUUAGGAAGGUAGAUUAUUUAAACAAUACGCCUAAAGCAACUACACACUUUAAGUUUUCGAUAGCCAUGGAAAAUUCGUUAAUGGCACAGCUCGAUCUCUAACGGAUUCAAAAUUAAUCAUCUGAGGGCUAUGGGUUAUCUAUUUUUGGUUAUAGCACACCCCAAAUCUAAUUUUAAGAAAAUUCAAAACUCAGCUUUUGAGGGCCAUAGACUGUCUUUUGGCUAAUAUGGCACACAUCAACCUGCCCUUAAGAAAUCGUAAUUAUAUCACGCGAACGUAUUCACGAUCACGACGAUUGAUUAAGUGCGUUGCUAAAGAAAUAUUUCUACUAAUAUUCACGGUCCGUUAAAUUAAUAUCCUAAGGUUUUAGCUAUCAUGAAUCUAUUCACCCAUGUCGGUAUUAAAUAUCCUUGCUAUCAACUUACCGUCUUGAACCAUUCUAAGGUAUCCCUCAACAUCAUUGAUUUUCAGUAACUUAAUUUUCAUACCAAAAGUCAUAAAAGACUAAUUUAAACAUAGAACAUCAGCACACAAAAAAACAUACUAUAACUUGCACAUAAACACCAAAAUCAACAUAUACAUCGAGAAUCAAUAUUCCUAGGACAAUAAUCAAUAAUUUCAAUGAACUGGAAAAGAAAGAAAUGUUAAUAUGCUUAUAUAAAUGCACCUUUCAUGUGUGUAUAUGAACGUUAAAACUUCUAUAACUCAACGAUCGAAUUGAGAAUAAAUAGCAACACAGAAUCAGAGCAGCGACUGGAGCUUUGACGAUAAACCUCGAAUGAUACCUCAAAUAGUAAACCUGAACAAAUCUCUCCAGUUCUUUGGAGUUCUAUGACUAUUAUGAUUGAGAACACGGAAGAGAAGGCUUUUAUGGUUGUUUUUGAAGGAGGGAAUAUGAAUGUAAAAAAUGACUCUGGUAAGUGUGGAGAAAAAAAGUGCGGCUGCUUUUUUUGUUUAGUUUAGGUCUCAGUUUCUUGGUUCUCCAUCAAAUUUCUUUCUCAAUUUGUUAGAUCAUUAUCUAAUAAAACGUUAGGCGGCCAUUUUCUCCUAGAGAAUAGAGGGGUGUCGAUGGAUUUUUGGUGAAGAACAGGUGGGGUGCUACUGAAAUUCUUUGGGAUGAAGAAAAUGGGCGCCGAUCUUUAUUUUCUUAGAGUUGUAGGAAUGAAAGAUUAGGGUAGGAUUUCUAUAAUUAUGUAUUUUAUAUGGAAGUGAGAAGGG